AACCUGUGNAACUCGAAUGAACGAACGGGGAGAUUCAUCGUCAUUCAGCGGACGGCGCUGGUGGUGCGCGAUGGGUGGCCCUCCGGCGGUUUCGAUCGCCGGCAGUGAGCCGUUCACGCGUCCGCUUUGCGCAGUCAGUCCGUUGACGUCGUGCACUUCUCCCUUAGUAAUGCAUCGCGACCCGCUCGAUACCGAUCUAAGCCCCGUUCGGGUGCACGCGGCGUCUCGUGCGCUGCGUACCGUGACGGGUGCCGGUCGGUUGUUGGGCGGUAUUAGACGUGAAACGCGCACGCGCUUGUCGCGUCCGGCCCGACGCAAGGUCGUUGUGAUGCCGCCGUUGCGCCCGAGUGCGCGCGGUUGGCGCACGACGCCUGCUCGUGCAGCCGUGUCGUCUCGGACGUGCGUGUAUCCAGUCAUGCGAUGUUUUUGUUUCGGGCACUCACAGGACCCGUCUUGAAACACGGACCAAGGAGUCUAGCAUGUGUGCGAGUCACUAGGUUUUAAAACCGAAAGGCGCAACGAAAGUGAAGGCGCGCGCUCGUCGCGUGCUCGGGAGGAUGGCGAACGGCUCUCAAGGCUGUCGCCCGCACUCCCGAGGCGUCCCGUUCGCAAUCUGUCGAUGUGGGCGCGCUCAGAGCACAGAUGCUGGGACCCGAAAGAUGGUGAACUAUGCCUGGUCAGGUCGAAGUCAGGGGAAACCCUGAUGGAGGACCGUAGCGAUUCUGACGUGCAAAUCGAUCGUCGGAACUGGGUAUAGGGGCGAAAGACUAUCGAACCAUC
Molecule: ribosomal RNA, 780 nt
Filed under: Stigmella nylandriella
Lineage: Eukaryota; Metazoa; Arthropoda; Insecta; Lepidoptera; Nepticulidae
Description: eukaryotic LSU rRNA
Rfam family: Eukaryotic large subunit ribosomal RNA
Source: RNAcentral